UCUUAGUUAGUCCGGACUACAAGGUCAACAUGCUAACCUUGUAGUCCCAACCAAUAAGAAGACAGAUCACCAAAAUUGAUGACAUAAACUUAUUUGCCACAUUACCCCACUACAGCUUAUUAUUCUCUAACAUCCGUUUAACCCGUUGAAAGCAGAUUCAAAACAGCAAAUUCAAAUUUAAGAUGUGAAUGGGUGGGUAUUGAAAAUUUUGUAUCUGAAAUCCUUUCCAAAAUUUGUUUUACGUAUCUUGGGUCAUUUCCCCAAUGCCAAACAAAAUGCUUUUUCUGCUGAACCUAGGUCAUUGUCUCCAACUUCACUCGACACUGCCCCACUCAGCACUCUCCUUCACAUUUCCCCCUUGUAAUCCCUUGCUUCCUGAUCUGGAUAUUCAAAUACUUUGAUGAGCAAUCCAAACUUUAAAAUCUAAGAGGUAGUUGUUCCUCUAACAAAGGAUAAGAAUGCUUGCUCCAAAAUUCAAGCAAUCGCAUAUCCUUUCAAGCAAUGAAUAGGACAAACUUGGAGCAGAGGGAGCCUCGACUUGCCAAGGAUGAAGAUGAGGAUCAACAAGUUGAAUGUGAAGGAGCUGUCAUUAUUGGCUUGGAUGACAAGAUGAGAUGGAUAAGUGAUGAAGUUCCAAGAUUGAAGUCUGGCUGGUCUCCUUAAACAAUAGGAUUCAUUAGUUAGAGAUAGAAAUUAUUAAUAACUUAUUUCCCAGAUUUUUGGAAGUGUAGAGGAUGGGAUUAGGUUGUUUGCUAGUUAGUUGUUAUCAAGUUUAUGUUAAUAGUUGGUGCUUAUCAUAAGUUGUAUAGCACAUAUGUUGUGCACAAAGGAAACAAAUUAAUAAAGAUGGAAGCAGAAAAUUAACACUCAAACUCAUGAGUGACUGGGGUCA
This is a long non-coding RNA of Quercus robur (English oak), 892 nucleotides long. RefSeq lists it as uncharacterized. The record is from RefSeq and is a predicted model, not a curated record. Lineage: Eukaryota; Viridiplantae; Streptophyta; Magnoliopsida; Fagales; Fagaceae. The transcript has 2 exons.